CCUACGGGGGGCAGCAGUGGGGAAUAUUGGACAAUGGGGGGAACCCUGAUCCAGCCAUGCCGCGUGUGUGAAGAAGGCCCUCGGGUUGUAAAGCACUUUCAGUGAGGAAGAACGCCUGGUGGUUAAUACCCAUCAGGAAAGACAUCACUCACAGAAGAAGCACCGGCUAACUCCGUGCCAGCAGCCGCGGUAAUACGGAGGGUGCGAGCGUUAAUCGGAAUUACUGGGCGUAAAGCGCGCGUAGGUGGCUUGAUAAGCCGGUUGUGAAAGCCCCGGGCUCAACCUGGGAACGGCAUCCGGAACUGUCAAGCUAGAGUGCAGGAGAGGAAGGUAGAAUUCCCGGUGUAGCGGUGAAAUGCGUAGAGAUCGGGAGGAAUACCAGUGGCGAAGGCGGCCUUCUGGACUGACACUGACGCUGAGGUGCGAAAGCGUGGGUAGCAAACAGGAUUAGAUACCCUUGUAGUC
Molecule: ribosomal RNA, 465 nt
Filed under: Vreelandella stevensii
Lineage: Bacteria; Pseudomonadati; Pseudomonadota; Gammaproteobacteria; Oceanospirillales; Halomonadaceae
Description: partial 16S ribosomal RNA
Rfam family: Bacterial small subunit ribosomal RNA
Source: RNAcentral